AAUCAGGAUACUGAGCUCUUUUUAAUGUCAUGUUUUUAUGACUAUUUUAAUGAAUAGUCGUUGUAUUUUCCACGUGUUGUUUCAGAUUUUUAAACGGGUGGUUGCGUGGAAAUUUCAUGGAACUGUUCAUACCGAAUUGGCCGCAAUGUUGCAUCGAGCAGCCUUCAUGGAUUGAAUUCAUGGAUACAAUACUGAAGAACGACUUUCUUACAUAAUUCCUAGUUAAUUGUUUCGACAGACAUGGUUAGUUGAAAAGAAUUGAGCAACUAAUUGUGAGGAACGCGAGCCACCAGCUCAGAUGAGACGAAGAUGUGAGUUUGUUUUGAUCAACAAAGCCCCGUUGUGGAACGAACACAGUCAAGUUUAUCAGUUGGACAUUGGAGGGAGAGUGACCCAAGAAUCUGCGAAAGAUUUCCCGAUUGAAUUCAAAGGAAAACAGGUUAUGCAGUUUGGCAUGGGAAUGUCUACACGUUAGAUUUUCAGUAUCCUUUUUCAGCUGUCCAGGCUUUUGCUGUGGCAUUGGGGAUUCAACGAUUGAAAUAAAAACGGAAUUUGAAUAAAUCUGUCCAGAGAUGGUCAAUAUGCCUCUUGUGAUAUUUAACAAGGGUGAGAAUUUAUUUCACGUGUCUUUCCUUUGUUUAUUAUGA
Long non-coding RNA from Daphnia carinata, 647 nucleotides. RefSeq lists it as uncharacterized. The transcript has 3 exons. Lineage: Eukaryota; Metazoa; Arthropoda; Branchiopoda; Diplostraca; Daphniidae. The record is from RefSeq and is a predicted model, not a curated record.